CCUACGGGUGCAGCAGUGGGGAAUAUUGGACAAUGGGCGAAAGCCUGAUCCAGCCAUGCCGCGUGUGUGAAGAAGGCCUUCGGGUUGUAAAGCACUUUCAGUGGGGAAGAAAGCCUUGGGGCUAAUACCCUCGAGGAAGGACAUCACCCACAGAAGAAGCACCGGCUAACUCCGUGCCAGCAGCCGCGGUAAUACGGAGGGUGCGAGCGUUAAUCGGAAUUACUGGGCGUAAAGCGCGCGUAGGCGGUCUGAUAAGCCGGUUGUGAAAGCCCCGGGCUCAACCUGGGAACGGCAUCCGGAACUGUCAGGCUAGAGUGCAGGAGAGGAAGGUAGAAUUCCCGGUGUAGCGGUGAAAUGCGUAGAGAUCGGGAGGAAUACCAGUGGCGAAGGCGGCCUUCUGGACUGACACUGACGCUGAGGUGCGAAAGCGUGGGUAGCAAACAGGAUUAGAUACCCUGGUAGUC
This 464-nucleotide ribosomal RNA is filed under the name Vreelandella stevensii. RNAcentral describes it as "partial 16S ribosomal RNA". It matches the Rfam family "Bacterial small subunit ribosomal RNA", at positions 338 to 795 of the family's 1533-position model. The record is from RNAcentral. Lineage: Bacteria; Pseudomonadati; Pseudomonadota; Gammaproteobacteria; Oceanospirillales; Halomonadaceae.